This is a long non-coding RNA of Triticum urartu, 968 nucleotides long. RefSeq lists it as uncharacterized. NCBI's taxonomy places the organism in Eukaryota, Viridiplantae, Streptophyta, Magnoliopsida, Poales, Poaceae. The record is from RefSeq and is a predicted model, not a curated record.
GGCGCCGCGCAGUCGCCAGAAAGAAAAAAAAAACUCGUGGAAUCUUUCCCAGUCUCACUCUCGUGCUUCUCUCUUCUCUCCACUUCGAGGCGACAAAGGCGGCGGCGGGGACGGAGAGGACGGCGUCGGCGACUCCCCGGUGGGAAGCUCCCAGCGUAGGCUACUCUCCGGAGUGAAGCUUCCAGCAUCGACGACCUGCCACGUAGCCCGGCCGAAACCCUAGCUCCCGCUUCGUGCCAUCUCCCCCGCCGCCUCACUCCGGAGAAGAGGAAGCCCCCGGCGACAAGAUCACCAGGUUGGUAGAUCUGGGAGAUUUGGUUGACCGCCUUGGUCUGGCUGUCAAUCUGCGAGGAUCGGCUUAACUUUUCUUUCUCUGCGUUGAAGUUUAUGAUGGAGGGACACAAGGUGGUCACGCUUGUGAUGAUGCUUGGAUGCAUCAUAGCUCUGUCAGACGCUCGAACCACUGGUCAGAUGGACGGCAGCAAAUAUCAAAUCUGCAUAUGCCCGAAGUAUGGAAAUGUCUUCUGUUGCGCGGAUUCAACCGACCCCUGCUUUCCAUCCAAAAUGGAAUGCGUUAAAGGUUGCGGAUGCGGUGCGGACGCGCAAUCCACCCCUCAUGCCCUGCCAUGACCUUCUGGCUUAGUUCUGAUGGUGUUUGAUGCCUCCAUGAGGAAGAAAUAACCAUGUAGUCGAAGUUCUGAAUAAAAGAACCAUGAGGCACGGUCAUAUGCUAUGUUUUGUGAUUAUGUCUGGUGAUGGCGUGCACCUCAUGUAUGAAAGAUUAUAUCAUAUGUCCAGCAAUGUAUAUGGGGAUGCUAGAAUUUGAUCACCUUAUUUACAAAGGCUGAGCCAAGGGACAAUUCAGUAUUGUGGAUCUGGCACCUCGUAUGUCUUCCACUACUACUCCCUCCGUUCCUAAAUAUAUGAUGUUCUGGUAGUUCAAUUGAAAUACCAAAACGUCGUAUACA